GGUUAGCUCAGCAGGUUAGAGCACCGGACAAGGAAUCCGGCUGUCACGGGUUCGAUUCCCGUACCAA
RNAcentral lists this transfer RNA (67 nucleotides) under Pirellulales bacterium. Its description in RNAcentral is "tRNA-Pro". It matches the Rfam family "tRNA", at positions 5 to 66 of the family's 71-position model. From Rfam's summary of the family: Transfer RNA (tRNA) molecules are approximately 80 nucleotides in length. Their secondary structure includes four short double-helical elements and three loops (D, anti-codon, and T loops). Lineage: Bacteria; Pseudomonadati; Planctomycetota; Planctomycetia; Pirellulales. The record is from RNAcentral.